UAUUUUACAAGUUUCCAACUGCAUCACAUAAAAUAGUUCAAAGGCAAAAAUGGAUUGCUGCUGUGAAAAGAAAAAAUGGACUCCAAAAACUCAUCAUGUAAUAUGUAAUGCUCAUUUCAUUGGCAAGAAAAAAUCAGAUGAUCCUGCGAGUCCAAGCUACGCGCCAACUCUAUUCCCUCCAG
Molecule: long non-coding RNA, 182 nt
Organism: Neodiprion fabricii
Lineage: Eukaryota; Metazoa; Arthropoda; Insecta; Hymenoptera; Diprionidae
Exons: 2
Source: RefSeq, a predicted model, not a curated record